This is a non-coding RNA of Nelumbo nucifera (sacred lotus), 2390 nucleotides long. NCBI's taxonomy places the organism in Eukaryota, Viridiplantae, Streptophyta, Magnoliopsida, Proteales, Nelumbonaceae. The record is from RefSeq and is a predicted model, not a curated record.
UAUAUGGGAAGAAUGCGCAGUCAAUGUGAUGUGGAGCGAGUUUCUUUUCUCCUCCCAUCGUUCUCUCGGCACAACUCCACAAUCUCUACUUGUCUGUCCUUCAUCGAGAACAACAGUAUGAAGAACCAUCACUGUGUCGCAUAGGGUUUCUUUUAUACUCAUUCUUUGUAGACACGUACAAGAAGCAAGAUAGGAAAAUGGGUCAAGAUGGUUUUAUGGCUUUCAAGAGAAGCGGAGCAGGUGGCGGUGCUCUUCCCACUACAAACAGACUCUCCGGAGGUCGUCCUCCAUCCGGCAUCCCUCGCGGCCGUCAGAUCCAGAAGACCUUCAACAACCUCAAGAUCACAGUCCUCUGUGGCCUCGUCACCAUCCUCGUCCUCCGCGGCACCAUCGGCGUCGGCAACCUCGGCGGCUCUGACGCCGAAGCCGAAAACCAGAACCUCAUUGAAGAAACCAACCGCAUCCUCGCUGAGAUCCGUUCUGAUGGUGACCCUUCCGAUCCAGACGAUCCUGCCGAGACCGAGAUAAAUCCUAACAUCACCUACACCCUUGGCCCCAAGAUCUCAAAUUGGAACGAGGAGCGGAAGGCCUGGCUCAACAACAACCCUGAAUUUCCCAACUACAUAAGUGGAAAAGCUCGAAUCCUGCUCGUUACAGGGUCUCCUCCGAACCCGUGCGACAAUCCAAUUGGGGAUCACUACCUUCUCAAGGCUAUCAAGAACAAGAUAGAUUACUGUCGAAUUCACGGUAUCGAGAUCGUUUACAAUUUGGCACAUCUUGACAAGGAGCUCGCUGGGUACUGGGCGAAGCUGCCGUUGAUCAGGCGGCUUAUGCUGUCGCAUCCGGAGGUGGAAUGGAUCUGGUGGAUGGAUAGCGAUGCACUGUUCACUGAUAUGGUGUUUGAAAUCCCGCUUUCCAAGUAUAAUGGUUACAACUUGGUUAUUCACGGGUACCCAGAUUUGCUGUUUGAGCAAAAAUCCUGGAUCGCUUUGAACACUGGGAGCUUCUUGUUUAGGAAUUGCCAGUGGUCUUUGGAUUUGCUUGAUGCUUGGGCUCCCAUGGGUCCGAAGGGUCCAAUUAGAGACGAAGCCGGAAAGAUCUUGACUGCUAAUUUGAAGGGGCGGCCGGCGUUUGAGGCUGAUGACCAAUCGGCAUUGAUCUACUUGUUGAUGUCAAAGAAGGAAGAGUGGAUGAAUAAGGUGUUCAUUGAGAAUUCUUACUACCUACAUGGAUACUGGGCUGGUCUGGUGGACCGGUAUGAGGAGAUGAUAGAGAAGUACCAUCCUGGAUUGGGGGAUGAGAGAUGGCCAUUUGUGACCCAUUUUGUGGGUUGCAAGCCUUGCGGGAGCUAUGGGGAUUAUCCUGUCGAGAGGUGCCUGAAAAGCAUGGAGAGAGCGUUUAAUUUUGCAGAUAACCAGGUUCUUAAGCUAUAUGGGUUUAGGCACAGGGGCCUGUUGAGUCCCAAGAUCAAAAGAAUCAGGAACGAAACGGCUACUCCUUUGGAAUUUGUAGACCAGUUCGAUAUCCGGCGCCCAGUUCGUGGAGGAACUGAUUCAAAGAGUCACAUAAUGCCUCACUGGUGACUGUUGCCAACUUAUGCCAAGAUUCUGAAGGCAACCUCAACUCAAGUCGGAACAUUUUGUGGAUAAAGUUAGAAGAAAUGAAGCUUUUUGGUGAGGCCCGCGAUGGAAGAAUUGAACAAGGCACUGCCUUGACAAAAGGAGAGGCGCCAUGAUAAGAUAAUCAGAUACUAGAUCAAGAUCUCAUGCAUUGUUCAUCCAGAUUAUCAGAUAAUCUGCAGAAACAGUUGUAGAGUUAAAAGGACUAGUGAUCUGACAGAUAUGCUAUGAUCACGAAUACUUUGUUCUCCCUUCUGAGGCUUGAACCUUGGAGUUCUCUGAGCUCUACGUUUGGUGGCGAUACGCCAGUCGCCAGUACCCAUAUGAUCGGAAAACCGAAGAGCAUGGGAAUCGCCAAUGAACGAAACUAUUGAAUAUGACAUAUCAACUUGAUAGAACUUUGGUUCCCCCAGGCUCCCCAGUGACCACCGUCUGAGAUGUCCAAUCAAACACUAGCACGUUAUCGUCCAGUAAAGAGCAAUAUUCACCUGAUGUUGUAUAUCUCAAUCAAACGGUUGCCUUGUCAUUGUUUUACUCCAUCCCUCAGAAUAGUUCGACGACUUUGUUUUCGCAUUCAAGGGCUGAAGGGAAGGUGCCCAAUAAUUUGAUGGAAACUCCAAUUGGACUGCCUACUCCGGAGUCUGGACUCUGGAGGCGAAUGAUCUUGAUGUCUUGAUAAAGCUUUUCUGCAGUAAUACUCUGACAUUUAGGCUUUGUUCGUUUUUUUUGUAAGUUAUUUAUCCAGGUAAAUAUAGUUAUUUGGGUAAGUUU